GAAAAAAGACAAGGGCAGACGGUGGAUGCCUUGGCUCUCGGAAGCGAAGAAGGACGUGAUAAGCUGCGAAAAGCUACGGGUAUCGGCACAUACGAGUUGAUCCGUAGAUCUCCGAAUGGGGCAACCCGGCAUAUGGAAGAUAUGUCACUGUGCAGAGCACAGAGCAGACGUGGGGAACUGAAACAUCUUAGUACCCAUAGGAAAAGAAAACAAAAGUGAUUCCCUUAGUAGUGGCGAGCGAACGGGGAGUAGCCCAAACCGGCUUUGUUUCGGCAAAGUCGGGGUAAUAGGAUCAGACGACAAAUUAUAUAAAGACUUUAGUAGAAUUGUGUUGGAAAGCACAGCCAGAGAGCGUGACAGCCGCGUAGACGAAAGGGUCGCUAUAUAAGAGUUUGACACCUGAGUAGCUCGGGACACGUGAAAUCCUGAGUGAAUUAGCGGGGCCCAUCCCGUAAGGCUAAAUAUACCCGAGAGACCGAUAGUGAACAAGUACCGUGAGGGAAAGGUGAAAAGGACCUCGAACAGAGGAGUGCAAUAGACCCUGAACCCGUCUGCCUACAAGCGGUAGGAGCCCCUACGUGGGGUGACUGCGUGCCUUUUGCAUAAUGAACCUACGAGUUGCCGUUGCUGGCAAGGCUAACCGGCUAUAGUCGGGUACCCGGAGCGAAAGCGAGUCUGAAUAGGGCGCCUAUAGUCAGCAGGGGCAGACGCGAAACCAAGUGAUCUACCCUUGGCCAGGUUGAAGGUUAGGUAACACUAAUUGGAGGACCGCAUCGGUAAGCGUUGAAAAGCUUUCGAAUGAGCUGAGGGUAGGGGUGAAAGGCUAAUCAAACUUGGAGAUAGCUCGUACUCCCCGAAAUGCAUUUAGGUGCAGCCUCAGGAGUUUCUUAUAAGAGGUAGAGCGACUGAUUGGAUGCGAGGCUUUCACCGGCUAUCAAGUCCAGACAAACUCCGAAUGCUUAUAAGUUAUCCUGGGAGUGAGGGCAUGGGUGCUAAGGUCCAUGUCCUAAAGGAGAAGAAUCCGGACCAUCGGCUAAGGUCCCUAAAUCACUGCUAAGUUGGACAAACGCGGUCAAGAUGCGAAGACAGCUAGGAUGUUGGCUUGGAAGCAGCCAUUCAUUUAAAGAGUGCGUAACAGCUCACUAGUCGAGGAUUUUGGCAUGGAUAAUAAUCGGGCAUAAGCAGUGUACCGAAGCUGUGGGAUGUUAAUACAUCGGUAGGGGAGCAUUCUAACGGAGUAGAAGAUUCGAAGACGAUUCGGGUUGGAUUUGUUAGAAAAGCAAAUGUAGGUAUAAGUAACGAUAAAGGGGGUCAGAAACCCCCUCGCCGAAAGACCAAGGUUUCCUGAUCAACGCUAAACGGAUCAGGGUUAGUCGGGCCCUAAGCGGAAGCCGAACGGCGAACGCGAUGGCAGAAUGGGUUAAUAUUCCCAUACUAAUCAUAUGAGUGAUGUGGAGACGGAGAAGUGACAGUACGGCCAACUGACGGAAUAGUUGGUUAAAGGGUGUAGAUGUAGAUUGGGGUAGGCAAAUCCGCCCUGAGAGUCGAACCUGAUAGUACAGAGCGUGCAUGCACAAUCUGAAAAGUACGUAACCAGGCUCCCAAGAAAAUCCGCUAAACAUAUUGUAUGAUUACCCGUACCGUAAACCGACACAGGUGGUUGGGUUGAGUAUACUAAGGCGCUCGAGUGAUUCGCGGUUAAGGAACUAGGCAAAAUAGUCCUGUAACUUCGGGAAAAAGGACGCCUCUGAGCGAUCAGAGGUCGCAGAGAAAAGGCCCUGGCGACUGUUUAACAAAAACACAUGGCUAUGCGAAAUAGAAAUAUGCAGUAUAUAGCCUGACACCUGCCCGGUGCCGGAAGGUUAAGAGGAGAGGUCAUCCUUUUUGGAGAAGCUUUGAAUUGAAGCCCCGGUAAACGGCGGCCGUAACUAUAACGGUCCUAAGGUAGCGAAAUUCCUUGUCGGGU
This 1966-nucleotide ribosomal RNA is filed under the name human oral metagenome. RNAcentral's name for it is "bacterial LSU rRNA". It matches the Rfam family "Bacterial large subunit ribosomal RNA", at positions 1 to 1977 of the family's 2925-position model. The record is from RNAcentral.